This 242-nucleotide ribosomal RNA is filed under the name uncultured Peptostreptococcus sp. Its description in RNAcentral is "partial 16S ribosomal RNA". It matches the Rfam family "Bacterial small subunit ribosomal RNA", at positions 114 to 356 of the family's 1533-position model. Lineage: Bacteria; Bacillati; Bacillota; Clostridia; Peptostreptococcales; Peptostreptococcaceae. The record is from RNAcentral.
CGCGUGGGUAACCUGCCCUAUACACAUGGAUAACAUACUGAAAAGUUUACUAAUACAUGAUAAUAUAUAUUUGCGGCAUCGUAGAUAUAUCAAAGUGUUAGCGGUAUAGGAUGGACCCGCGUCUGAUUAGCUAGUUGGUGAGAUAACUGCCCACCAAGGCGACGAUCAGUAGCCGACCUGAGAGGGUGAUCGGCCACAUUGGAACUGAGACACGGUCCAAACUCCUACGGGAGGCAGCAGCG